Dermacentor albipictus is the source of this 922-nucleotide long non-coding RNA. RefSeq lists it as uncharacterized. Lineage: Eukaryota; Metazoa; Arthropoda; Arachnida; Ixodida; Ixodidae. The record is from RefSeq and is a predicted model, not a curated record.
GCCGCGAGGGUGCGCUAGCGCCGGGGACCCGAGGCGCGCAAAAGAGAGACGUGGUCCGCGCAGUUGAAGCCGGCGCGCGAGGUGUGCCGCGCGGUUUGGCAAGUGUCGGCGUUGUGCAAAAGCGUGCUUUCAGUUUACGCAGUCACAGCAACAUGAACGUCAGCCUACAGGCAGGUCAAGGACAUCGGAAGACGUCUGAGAAGUUCUCACCGUAUAGCUCUUGAUACUGUCUGGCGCCGUAACUGAGAAUGCAAACUACCUGCCAAAACAUGCACACCGGCGCGGUCGUCCUGCACAGCGCCUCGUCCGAAGCGAUCCAGAGCGCUCUGCUUCUGGAUGACCAACAGGAAAAGCUGGCAGCUGACCACCUUCGACAACACUUUGCGAGGCUGUUGCGAGGAAAAAUGAAAACUAAAGCUUUCCAUUCAAUGUUCUUCCCUGCGUGUGAAAAACACAACGGCAAGCAUAUGGUGCAAUUCCAUGAUUAUCCAUACGAUGUAUUGGGCACGAAGGAAAUUGACAUUACAUAAGGAUGCACUUACCGCACCAAGUGCACAACACAAUGCCCUACAAUGCUGAAAGCCUGACUGGUACUACGGCAGUAUGCAAGCUUGUGAAUUCCCAAGCAUUUUCCUGACAAUACUAGCGUCGCCACCCCGCACUUCACCGACGACAUUGCGAGCACGAAGCUUUACGCUGGCAUUAAGGGUUGGCUGACGAUGCGAAUGACCUACAUCGGCCGACAGCGAUGUCACUGUGUUGGCAUGCGGUGAACGCGGGUCGGUGCCAAAGUGAUCACGUUGAAGAUAGUGGUACAUACGUUCCUUAAGCAAACAAGUAAAAAUUCAAUAACACCAACUCGCAGCCCUAUUCCCCUUCCCUUUGUUUCUUGUCAUAUUGGUUAUGUGGUAUUAAGCGACAU